GGAACUGGAAGUGGCCCUGCAAAGCGAGUCCAUUUUAACAAAUUUGAGGAGCUGCUGCUGUCUUUCCUACACACUGAGAGUGGGAGAGGUGUGUCCGGCACGUAUGAUUCGGACAGGAAUGUUGGCCAAGAUUCAUCCUUAACACCACCUGGCACUAGCAAACACAGACAAUCGUCAUCUGCUCCCAUUCCAGGUGGACGCUCCUAGUCUGUGCUCCACUCCCCAUGAUGCGAUCCUGCAAUUGGAGGGGUUACGUUUAGUGGGGAGGAAAGUGAGAGAGGGUCACACGUAGGUGGCAGCGAUGUAGCCUUGUUCUCAUAUGAGGGCCCGGACAACAUUCCCCAGCAGCAGCAGCUCCCAACCCAGGCCAGAGGAGAUAAUGUGGCCCCCCAGGAACCUCAGAAAGAUAGGUUCCACAAAUCCCUAAUAAGGCAUCAUAAAGCCUUAAUGAAAAAAUUGGAUAUUAUGCAUGUCGACUUGUGUGUGGCCACUGAUGCCUACAAUGCUAGUCAGGCACGGCAAGCCGCACAUGAGUUGGCCAUGCUAAGCCUCCAGCAGGCCAGCGAGGCACGCAAAGCGCAACAUGAGGCUGCCACGUUAAGCCUGCAAGAGGAGCGGGAAGAACUGAAAAGGCAAAGACUGGCACUGUUGGCUCGCCAAAAUUUGCUCCUAGAGCAACAAAAUGCCUUACUACAGUGAUCCCCAACCAGUGGCUCGUGAGCAACAUGUUGCUCCCUGAACCCUUGGAUGUUGCUCCUGGUGACCACAAUGCAGGUGCAAAUUUUUAAUUUCUUGGCUUGGAGGCAAGUUUUGGUUGCAUAAAAACCAGAUGUACUGCCAAAUAGAGCCUCCUGUAGGCUGCCUGUCCACAUAGAGACUACCAAAUUGCCAAUAACAGCCCUUAUGUGGCACCCCCAGAAACUUAGCAAUGGUUGUGUUGCUCCCCAGCUCAUUUUACAUUGGAAUGUGGCUCACGGGUAGAAAAGGUUGCCUUACUACAACAGACACAAAAGCCAACAGAGCCAACAUGCUCUACCAGUCGAGCUACUCUUGAGAGCACAGCUCCCGCUCCUGCAGGUUCGACUAGGCAGCUUCGUAAAAGAAAAUAAAUCAGACACAUUAGGGAUUUGUGGAACCUAUCUUUUCUA
This is a long non-coding RNA of Xenopus tropicalis (tropical clawed frog), 1148 nucleotides long. RefSeq lists it as uncharacterized. Lineage: Eukaryota; Metazoa; Chordata; Amphibia; Anura; Pipidae. The transcript has 3 exons. The record is from RefSeq and is a predicted model, not a curated record.